Long non-coding RNA from Syngnathoides biaculeatus (alligator pipefish), 4129 nucleotides. RefSeq lists it as uncharacterized. NCBI's taxonomy places the organism in Eukaryota, Metazoa, Chordata, Actinopteri, Syngnathiformes, Syngnathidae. The record is from RefSeq and is a predicted model, not a curated record. The transcript has 3 exons.
UGGUGACAUCAUGUGUAUGAGCUCUAUGGGUUGUUUUCACUGACGUCACAUUUUUUGAUGAAUAACCCACACACCACUGCAGGCCGCCAUUUAACCUCUCUACCUAACGCGUACCAGUGUUGUAGCCUGCGGAAUGCUCUGUUUGUGUUUUUGUGUUUCAUGGGCGUCUUGGGACUCAACUACACAAAAGAUGACUUGCUAAACAUCAGAGAGCCGCCUUCUGACUUUUUUUUUUUGACAACUCUCACCAAUUCGCUGAAGCUUUUUCCAGAGUUGCUAGUUGGUGCGCUCUUCAAAGCCUCACGAUGAAGAGGCUCGCGAUCCGGGUUACACGUCCGACUUCGACAGCGGGAACAUCGGCGUUCAAGGCAUCACAAAGGGUGACUUUACGUGAAAACAACCCAUAUAUCCAGUAACAGUAUAUCCACUUCUCUAAAGAAAGAUAGACAAAUGGGUGUCGAUUGUGCUCCAUUAUGCCAGCUCUCUCUCCGGAUAAAUGCAGAGGAGUUGCGUCAGGAAGGGCAUCCGGCGUAAAAACUGCCAUACAAAUAUGAGUCUUCAUCCAUUGGCUGGCAACGAGUUCAGGGUGUACCCUGCCCCCUGCCCGUUAACAGCUGGGAUAGGCUCCAGCACUUCUCCGACCCUUGUGAGGAAAGGCAGUUAAGAAAAUGGAUGGAUUUUUGUGACAUGAUGGUGUUAUUAAGAAAUGCAUUCGAUUAUUGUAGCGCUAGAUCCCAAAUUCAAAGCUAGCCACUUGGAUUUCGUCAAGAAACGGGACAUGCCAAAAGGAAAAGAAGAAAAAGAACCACGACUUUGUGCCAACCACCACCUUGUCAGAUUGAACGCUUGUGUCCCACUUCCAGGUUACCAUUUGUCUCAAAGGGGGAAUCACCUUCCUUUUUUAGAUGGAUUACAUUAAGGAAAAACCUUUUAUUAAUCAGUGUCAAAAAAUCCAAAGGUUGGUCUUAAUAGUGAGUUUUUGGUUCAGUUCAGAGAAAGCCACGCUCCAACUGAUGCUUUACUUGUUGUGAUGUGAUUCGAUAUUAUAUUGAAAAGGGACAGCAGGCUUGACUUGAGUCGACUGGAGUGGUUUCCAGGUCAUUGGGGGUGCCGCUUUAAACAUUACUGGUGCAGGGGAUAUUGGGCAAAUCUCGUUGUUUUUCUUCAUCUUCUUGGCCUGUGGUAGGAGAUUCGUUCGGCUUGAGUAAAUCUUGUACAGAAUGCUGUGAAACCUCGAGUCCCCUGAUCACUCUUUAAUGUACUAAAACAUAAUUAGUGCAAUCUUCGUGUCCGGUUGGCGUCGUCUCGUCCACGGUCUAUUUUAGCUUAUCUUAUCUUGCUAAAAAAAGAGAGAGACGUUUGUAAUCAAGAAUUCGCUAAACAGAGGUUAAGAUUGAGGUAGUCUUCUUUCCGCCACAGACUAGUAAGGAAUGACAAAAGUGACACAUAAGUGUGCUUAAAAACACACUAUCAACUAAAAUCUGUCGGCUUUUUCCGGGAGUAGAUAAUAUUCUCCAUUGUGACGUCACGCGCAUGAGUUCAAUGAAGAACUACUUAUGUCUGGCAUAAAACGGAGAGACAUAUGUUCUCCAUAUUGGAGGAUGAAUGCUCGUUACAAAAAAAAAAAAAAUAAAUAAAAUCGAUAUCAAUAAUCCUAGGCGUCACUUCCACACCGGUAAUUCCUGCCGUGACCCAGAUUUGAACGACGGUUGCUGAGGAAACAACGCGGGGUUCAGACCACGAUGCGACCACAUUUUGGUGGAAACUGCCACGAAAGUUGGCUGUCGGAAACUUGUGACUGCAGCAAGAACAGAUUGUGAUCAGUCAGCAUUAGUCCGUGGUGGUCUGGUUGUUAGGGUUCCUGUUCCGAUCAGGCUGUGUACAUUUUUGAGCCUGUUUGGUCUGUGCUGCUCAACAUUGAAACGCUGUACAUUGACUCAACGUUGUUCCGCUCUUAAAGCAGCCCGAUUGAGGAGCCUGUCCCUUUAAAUUGUUUUGCCGUAAAGGAUCAUGGGUAAUACAUCUCCUUCUACUCUCUUUGUGGAAAGAGAGACGAUCACCCUUCUGCAAAUCUUCCUGAAUUUAGACCGAAUGUGAAUCGUCGACAACGGACACCGCCUUUAACGGCUUUAGUGGACUAAAACCUCAUUCGUGCUGUAUUCGUAACCGGUUUGAGUCGUCUCGUCCACGUUGAAGCUCCUCGGGGUGUCUUAUCAUAGCUGAUCUUGCUAACAAAGAGCGAGCCCUUUGUGAUCAACACUUCGCUACGCAAAGCUCAAGAUUGAGGAAGAGUACGAGGAGGAAUUUAGGGGCUCAAAAGAAGAGGAGGAGCCACUACGUAACCCCUUGGACGUUGUGUUCAAUGUGCAGCCUCAAAUUGUGCUACGAAGAGCAAAUUAUUUGAUGAUACGUGGGUGGUGGCAUGGUGUAUUAGCUGGAACGUGUUGGCCUCACAGUUCUGAGGAUCUGGGUUCAAUCCCAGGCCUCCCUGUAACGGACUUUACAUAGUCUCCCCUUACCUGUGUGGGUUUUCUCUAGGGCACUCCAAUUUCCUCUCACAUCCCAAAAACAUGCAACGUUAAUUAAAAUGAUUAAUUAAUUCAUCUAAAUUGCCCUGAGGUGCAAUUGUGAGUGGGGCUGUUGGUCUCGAUGUCCCAUGCGAUUGACUGGCAACCAGUCAGGGUGUAACUCCCCUUCUCCCUGUUGAAAGCUGGGAUAGGCUCCAGCACUCUCGUGACCCUUGUGAGGAUAAGCGGCGAAGAAAAUAGAUGGAUGGAUUAUAAAAUGCAAUAUAUUGGAUUACACUCAUUUCCUCACCCAGUGAAAUUUUAUUGUACCUCACUUUCUUUUAACCUAAUAAAUACUUAAAAUGCGGGUGACAUCCCUAUAAACAUUCUAAAAUAGAUAUUGUCAUGAAAAAUACAUAUAACAGUAUUCACUUCAAUGCCUAUACGUAAAAAAAAAAAAGUGAGCGGAGAGCGCGUCAUCCAUGCACAAAGUUGCGCAGUUGAGUGUCCCACGACAUCCAAGUGUUCGCCAUAUUAGUCGCGUCAUCUGUCCUUGACGUCAUCGUCACUUCCGCCGUUGAAAACGCGCAGUGCCUGCUACUAUGGAAGCCGAACAACAGAGAUAUUCGGAUUUUUCCAACGCCCCUUCUGACACGGAAGCUAUUUUCGAAAAGGACAACACCACACAACCCAGUGAAGUUACCGGGGCAAUAAUACACUAUUGUUUCGACCCCUCAGGGCAAUAUUGUUUCGAGCCAUAUUCAGAUGAUAUGCCAUUAAGGCCAAAGCGCAUCCCGUCCGAUCCACUUCCGCGGCGGAGAUGAACCAUCGCGGCUCAUCGCAGGCCGGCCGGUGUGGCUUAUGACGGAGCCGAGCGAUGCCCCUUUGUGUUCAAGAUCGAGCCUGUGCGGUUCAUGGUCGCACGUAACUAAGUAACGCAUUCUCGGCUGGGUUCUUCAGAGCCGCCCCCGUCGCAAAGCCCGACACGCAGCCUUCGCGGAAGAUGUGACUACCGAACGCGGCGCCUCAGCCGGUGUGGCUGAGUUUCGGCCCGCCGUGCUAUAUAAGGAGGGGGUGGAGCCAAGCUAUGUUGCAGGCUGAGUGAGACAUUGUUGGCUGGGCGACGCGAACAUCGACAUAUUUCAUACGCGGAUCUUUUGUUACGUUAUGAGAGAGACCGAUUACGUGGUCCGCUCCAAACUAUAAUUUUUUUUUAGGAGCUGUAUGCGCACAUCAACACAUUUCAUACGCGGAUCUUUUGCUAUGUUAUGAGAGAGACCGAUUACGUGGUCCGCCCCAAACAAUUUUUUUUUUUUAGUAGCUGUAUACACGCCUACCUGUUAUUUGGAACCCACGAAGCUGUCGUCCUUUGCACCCGUGCAAUCCAUUUUUCACAACGAACAGGGUCUCUUUCAAACUUAUGAAGGUUAAUUCCAUUCUCCCCAGUGUUCAAGCAAUGUCCAGCAAUGCAAUGAGCCGGCAUUUUGGCUUACAUGAAGGAACAACGAGCUACCUUCGCAGAGGUCAAACUAAUGGAAACAAACGAGUCUAUGUGGGGCCGCCACUGUCCUUUACGUCACUUCCUGCUUUUUCUUGACAACAAAUUCCUGAGAGGAUUUUCA